RNA transcript from Cryptomeria japonica (Japanese cedar), 3421 nucleotides. RefSeq lists it as uncharacterized. The record is from RefSeq and is a predicted model, not a curated record. NCBI's taxonomy places the organism in Eukaryota, Viridiplantae, Streptophyta, Pinopsida, Cupressales, Cupressaceae. The transcript has 16 exons.
CAAGGAAAGAACAAGGGAAACACGUAAAAUACUUUGGAAGAAAAUUCCAAAGAACCUUUUUCAAUUUUUUCAAUUAGAAAAAAAUAUAGGUUAAUCGUUAAUUAAAACCCAUUCCUCUGAAAUUUCAAAUCGGAAUGAAGAACAAACUCCGAGGAGUUUUCUGACUUCGAGUCAAUCCAGGGGUUGACGAAAGGCGCUCAAAUUAUGGGACAUGUAAUGGUGCUGAUUCAUUUCAGGGAGCUUGAAGUGCAUUACAGAGAAGUUGGAGUGCAUGUAUACCGCCCCGUAUCAAAUUUUUUGACAGGAAACUCUAUCCUCUUUAGGCAUUAAUCUUCAAACUAGCACUCCAGAGAUGCCACAUUCUUAAAAGCUGCCCGUAUAUGUGCUAUUUCAACUUUGAAACAGAAAAAUCCGGUUCUGAGUAUUUGAGUGUGUAGACAGGACUUAAUAAUGUAUCAAUUGGCCUAAUAAUUGCCGGAUGAAACAUGAAGUUUGCAGAAAAUCCAGUUGAGCAUUCCAGGCUUUUGAGCUCAUGCCUUCUAAAGAAUCGAAUGCCUUAGAGGCCAUGUGGAGUUGUUAAGCCAGGAUGGUCUGGGAAUGGCUCAAUUCCAUUGCUUUUUCAAAACAGUACAAUGUUCAAUGCGGAUCAAGCUUGCAUCAGCUAUUGUCUACUUCUAGUGUUUCCACAAGCCUGACUACAUGUCCUUUAGCAGGACAUGUGUGUGAAUCUUUAGAUGUAGUGCGAACUGCUGCCAAGCCUACGACAGAGGCGGCAGCGAAUCUCAUGCACUUUGUUGGACAUAAGGUUCAGAAAGGAGAGUGUCUCUAUGAUAUCAGCCAUGAUUAUAAUGUUGAUCUAAGGACCUUGUUGAAGGCUAAUCCCACUCUUAAGAAUCCAGAUAGUCUUGGUGUGGGGAGUAUAAUCAAGAUACCUUAUGUAGAGAAUUCUAGCCAAUGCAUGUGUCAUCUGAGAUAUCAGAUGCACCUACAAGAUUCAUUGUCUACAAAACCAGUCACUUCAGUUUUCACAAAGCCAGAGUCAUUUACACUAAGCAAGAUUUUAUGGUUAGCACAUCUAUUUCUUUUCAAAAAGAGAAAGCAUAGGGUCAUAGAAGGUGAUUCUUUAGAAGCUAUAGCUGAGAAGUAUGAUACCACUGUUUAUGCUCUCAAGAAGCUGAACAAUUUGAAUGAUGAUGUCAUCUAUAGAGGCAGUGUUCUGGAAGUAGGUGAACGGGAUUUGUAUAAAAAGCAUCAAUUUCUAAUUGGGAAGAAAGCAGAUUUUCAUGAACGGAGUGCUAUACUUGAGCAUGGACCAGUAAAUAUUCGGCAGUUAGUCUCAGGGUCUUCAGAAGAAAUUCCAUUAUUUUGUUUAUAUCCACUUCUUCAAACAGCUAAAGGUUUUAAGCCUCCUCUUCCAGAUCUGAUAACAGUCAAGGUUAAAUCAGGGGACACAUUGGCACACAUUUCUUGUCAGCAUGGAUUGAGUAUUCGUGAACUGCAACGUCUCAACAGUUUAAAGGAUGAUGUAAUCAUUCAAGGCGAUGUUUUGGUUGUGUCUACUAGACCUGAGAAGAUGGAAACAAUGGAGUUAAGGCAUGGUCGAAGAAGAACAAAUAGACUUCUGUUCUCUAGGCAGUUUCUUUCAAAGCGAUCUAGCUUGGGUGUUGGAGGGCCUGAAAGUUUAGGGGAUGCCACAUCCAUUUCAAAUGGUCCAGAACUUGAAGGAAAAUGGAAGCAUAAUAGGAAAGGAUUUGAUCAACGGGAUAAGUUUAUGCAUUUUAGCAUACCGCUCAGAGAAGGAUUUCUUAGCAGUCCCUUUGGUUGGCGGUGGGGUGCUUUCCAUGAGGGGGUUGACCUGGCUGCAGAACAAGGCACACCAAUCUAUGCAUCAUAUAAAGGAACAGUAGCUUAUGCUGGGUGGAAUGGUGGUUAUGGAUAUCUAGUUGCUAUUCAGCAUGAAGGUGGUUUUGUGACCAGAUAUGCACAUUGCUGUGCUAUUCAUGCUCGAGUUGGACAGAAAGUACGGAAAGGACAGCAAGUUGCAGCUGUUGGUGCUACAGGACAUGCUACUGGCCCACAUCUGCAUUUUGAAGUUGCAUUGUAUGGACUAGACAAACCAUUUUGAAGACACACACACACAAGUGAAGGAUAAUCUGAUUGCCCCAAGAAAGUUUCAAGGGAUUUCAAUGACAAAGACAAAGCAAAGAGUGACACUUAGCAUCACAGAUUCUUUGUGUCCAUGAAGUAAAGGUCAUUUGAGGACCUCUUCCAUCUCUCGCUACAAUCAACAUAGAUAAUAGUGUCAGUUGAAAGUGCUUGGCUAAUAAUAGUUUACCAUAACCAAAUACACCAGGAAUUUCAAUGACAAAGACAAAGCAAAGAGUGACACUUAGCAUCACAGAUUCUUUGUGUCCAUGAAGUAAAGGUCAUUUCAGGACCUCUUCCAUCUCUCGCUACAAUCAACAUAGAUAAUAGUGUCAGUUGAAAGUGCUUGGCUAAUAAUAGUUUACCAUAACCAAAUACACCAGGAAUGGCACAUGUUUCUCCAAGCACUGAUGGAAAUAGAGCAUCAAGAGCUUGUCAUCCUGUUAGGAGGGACGUAUUAAUGGCAAUCGACUGAAACUCACACUUGCCUGAUCACAACAGGAUUAGCGAUGAUUCUACACAACCGCCCAUGGAUUGACUCACAUAAGACUCUUUUCUAUCGCGCAGUAUUCUCAGAUUUUAUCCUGGCAAGGGAGUGAAAGUGUGUGACAGGUAAUCAACGUUCACAAGACAGUAAUAAUAAUCUAUGUCACUUUUUCUUUGUUUGGAAUCCUGGCGAGAUGAGAGAACUGAAUCGAAGACAAGAUAGACUAGAGCUUUUGUUGCUCCUUGUCAAAAAUCGUCAUUCCAUCCAAGUAUUGACAGGAUUUUGAAGUUUAUUUGCUCAUGCAAAUAUACUACCGUGGAACUCUGGGUGUUGGUGCUCUCUCAUCCCUCCGGUAAUCCUGCCAUAGAUGGCAUAGGAAUCACAACGUGAUGAACACGGAAACUGGUAUUUACAGCUGCAUUUACAAAGUCUUGAGAUUGAAAGUUUUGCUCUGAUACCAUAUAAAAAAUAUGUGCAGAGUCAUGGAAGGCAAACAUAAAAAUUUUAUACACAAAAUAAUAUUGCUUCUAUUUUUUUAAAUUUCAUUCAGUACAAUAUACAUGUAUACAGGAGUUGCAUCUCCUAUGUUCUAGGGAAUCUCUUAUAACAAGUCAAGAUAUUGAGUUGUUUUAACAACUCAAACAAACAAACUCAAUUAUACUAACAAUUACAGGAAUAUGUCCUAUCAUUUUAUGCGCUAUUUAACAAUGAACAAGCUCGACCUUCUCCUAUGUAAAAGACAUUGUUUAAGGCUGGCGAAUAGAGGAAACUGUAUUUGCCUUGAUUUAU